Molecule: ribosomal RNA, 481 nt
Filed under: uncultured bacterium
Lineage: Bacteria
Description: bacterial SSU rRNA
Rfam family: Bacterial small subunit ribosomal RNA
Source: RNAcentral
GCGUGCGCGAUGACGGCCUUCGGGUUGUAAAGCGCUUUUCGGGGAGAUGAGGAAGGACAGUAUCCCCGGAAUAAGGCUCGGCUAACUACGUGCCAGCAGCCGCGGUAACACGUAGGAGCCAAGCGUUAUCCGAAUUUACUGGGCGUAAAGCGCGUGUAGGCGGCAUACUAAGUUGGAUGUGAAAGCUCCUGGCUCAACUGGGAGAGGACGUUCAAAACUAGUAAGCUAGAGGGCGACAGAGGGAGGUGGAAUUCCCGGUGUAGUGGUGAAAUGCGUAGAUAUCGGGAGGAACACCAGUGGCGAAGGCGGCCUCCUGGGUCGCACCUGACGCUCAGACGCGAAAGCUAGGGUAGCAAACGGGAUUAGAAACCCCGGUAGUCCUAGCCGUAAACGAUGUAGACUUGGUGUCGGUGGGGUAAAAGCCAUCGGUGCCGAAGCAAACGCGAUAAGUCUACCGCCUGGGGACUACGGCCGCAAGGUU